Molecule: ribosomal RNA, 253 nt
Filed under: uncultured bacterium
Lineage: Bacteria
Description: partial 16S ribosomal RNA
Rfam family: Bacterial small subunit ribosomal RNA
Source: RNAcentral
UACGUAGGGUGCAAGCGUUGUCCGGAAUUAUUGGGCGUAAAGAGUUCGUAGGCGGUUUGUCGCGUCUGUUGUGAAAGCCCGGGGCUCAACCCCGGGUCUGCAGUGGAUACGGGCAGGCUAGAGUCAGGUAGGGGAGAACGGAAUUCCUGGUGUAGCGGUGAAAUGCGCAGAUAUCAGGAGGAACACCGGUGGCGAAGGCGGUUCUCUGGGCCUGUACUGACGCUGAGGAACGAAAGCGUGGGGAGCAAACAGG